AGUUUUGUGAGCUCCAUGAAGCGGAGUACAUGGAGGUCCUCCUCCAUGUCUCGGUUCGUUGGCUAAGCCUUGAACGCUGUGUGACCAGGAUCCUGAGGCUUUAUGAACCUCUGGCCAGCUACUUCAAAUCUGCUGGUAUAGAUCAUUUAUCUAUUUCAUUAUGCAGCAACUACAUGGAUUGUUAGUCACAUACUUGUAUUAUUGAUAACCUCUUGUUUUGUGUUAUUUAUUGAUUGAUUCAAGAUGAAAACCAGGCCAGGUUCAAGAGGCUUGUGCAGACGUUCACUGACCCCAUGACAGAAGUGUACCUGCUGUUCUUUCAAUCCACCGUUCCAACUUUCACUACUUUCAACUUGCUUCUUCAAAGAGAGCGGUCAUCAAUAUUUAUGUUGUAUGAUGAGAUGGAGAAAUUUGUACGCAAGCUUUGUUCAAAGUUCAUUGUUCCAGCAGCUCUGCAGGGCCUUGAGGAGCCUGGUGACAUUGCCUUUGGGGAGACGGCAAACCAUUUGCCAGGAAGAAAGUUGAACAUUGGGUUCACAACCAGGGCUAAACUCAACAGGCUACUUGACGAGGGUGACAUCACACCACAGCAGGUGGAUUCAUUCCAUGAAGCUGUGGUAUGUUUCCUGACAAGUGCUGUGGCCUAUGCACUAAAGAAGCUGCCACUGAAAGAGCCACUGCUCAAACAUUCAAAAUUUGUAGACGUACGGCAGAGGGCUGAAAGUGACAUCGGAGCUGUCCUGUACUUUGUUGAAAGGUUUCCCCAUCUCCUCCCAUACCAUGGUCCAGAGGAGCAUGACCUUCUGGGUGAGGAGUUUCUAAGUUAUCAGACCAUGCCAAUGAUAUCCCUGCAGGAUGAAACUGAAAUGGAAAGCUUCUGGGCUGAAAUGGCAACCCGGAAACAUAAGGUGACAGGAGCCAACGAAUUUCAGAGGCUUGCUGCCGUUGCCAAGCUGGUCCUGGUGUUGCCCCAUUCCAACGCAGACGCUGAGUGGGUGUUUUCAGUUGUGGGACUGAACAAAACAAAGACCAGAAACAGCCUAGCACUGGAUGGCACCCUGUCCUCAAUAAUGACCAUAAAGAUGGCCGACCUGGAGCCCUGUUUCAAAUGGGAGCCCCCCUCAGAUGUCCUCAAGGCCUCCAAGAAGGCCACAGGCCAGUAUAACCGUGCCCACAGAUCAUAG
RNAcentral lists this long non-coding RNA (1184 nucleotides) under Gadus morhua (Atlantic cod). Its description in RNAcentral is "lncRNA (ENSGMOG00000036129.1)". The record is from RNAcentral. Lineage: Eukaryota; Metazoa; Chordata; Actinopteri; Gadiformes; Gadidae.